RNAcentral lists this ribosomal RNA (460 nucleotides) under uncultured bacterium. RNAcentral's name for it is "partial 16S ribosomal RNA". It matches the Rfam family "Bacterial small subunit ribosomal RNA", at positions 338 to 795 of the family's 1533-position model. The record is from RNAcentral.
CCUACGGGGGACAGCAGUGAGGAAUAUUGGUCAAUGGCCGGAAGGCUGAACCAGCCAAGCCGCGUGAAGGACGAAGGUGCCAAGCAUUGUAAACUUCUUUUGUCAAGGGACAAAAUCAGGCUCGAGAGCCUGACCGAGGGUACUUGAAGAAAAAGCAUCGGCUAACUCCGUGCCAGCAGCCGCGGUAAUACGGAGGUGGCAAGCGGUGUCCGGAUUUACUGGGUGUAAAGGGCGUGUAGCCGGGAAGGCAAGUCAGCUGUGAAAUCUGGAGGCUCAACCUCCAAAUUGCCUUUGAAACUGUUUUUCUUGAGUACUGGAGAGGCAGACGGAAUUCGUGGUGUAGCGGUGAAAUGCGUAGAUAUAACGCGGAACACCAGUUGCGAAGGCGGUCUGCUGGACAGCAACUGACGGUGAGGCGCGAAAGCGUGGGGAGCAAACAGGAUUAGAUACCCGUGUAGUC